CCCUCUGGGGUGCAGCAGCAAGCGGUACGGGAGAUACAAAAUAUUCUGGUGGCAACGGAGGAGACGGAGAUAAUUUGGCUAGUGACACCGGGGGAGGUGGAGGUGGAGCGGGAAAUGCUGCAAAUGGUGGUAGCGCUGCAAAUGAAACAGCUGGUGUUGGUGGUUCUUAUGGUGGUGGAAAUGGUGCUGCAGGAUUAACUUCAGCUGGAAAUGGAACUGUCGGAUUUACAAUUGGUGGUGGGGGUAGUGGUGGAGGUGCAGGAAUUGGCGGGAGAGC
RNAcentral lists this ribosomal RNA (277 nucleotides) under uncultured prokaryote. RNAcentral's name for it is "partial 16S ribosomal RNA". The record is from RNAcentral.